Molecule: ribosomal RNA, 386 nt
Filed under: uncultured Cryptomonadales
Lineage: Eukaryota; Cryptophyceae; Cryptomonadales
Description: partial small subunit ribosomal RNA
Rfam family: Eukaryotic small subunit ribosomal RNA
Source: RNAcentral
GCUUGUCUCAAAGAUUAAGCCAUGCAUGUCUAAGUAUAAACGACUUUAUACUGUGAAACUGCGAAUGGCUCAUUAUAUCAGUUAUAGUUUAUUUGAUGGUCCUUGCUACUUGGAUAACCGUAGUAAUUCUAGAGCUAAUACAUGCACAAAGGCCCGACUCACGAAGGGCUGUAUUUAUUAGAUUUAAAGCCGACAUCUUUUGGUGAUUCAUAAUAACUUUUCGAACCGCAUGCGCAAGCGGCGGUGGUUCAUUCAAGUUUCUGCCCUAUCAGCUUUCGAUGGUAGGGUAUUGGCCUACCAUGGCUUUCACGGGUAACGGAGGAUCAGGGUUCGAUUCCGGAGAGGGAGCCUGAGAGAUGGCUACCACAUCCAAGGAAGGCAGCAGG